This 1095-nucleotide ribosomal RNA is filed under the name Escherichia coli. RNAcentral's name for it is "partial 23S ribosomal RNA". It matches the Rfam family "Bacterial large subunit ribosomal RNA", at positions 55 to 1191 of the family's 2925-position model. Lineage: Bacteria; Pseudomonadati; Pseudomonadota; Gammaproteobacteria; Enterobacterales; Enterobacteriaceae. The record is from RNAcentral.
GACGUGCUAAUCUGCGAUAAGCGUCGGUAAGGUGAUAUGAACCGUUAUAACCGGCGAUUUCCGAAUGGGGAAACCCAGUGUGUUUCGACACACUAUCAUUAACUGAAUCCAUAGGUUAAUGAGGCGAACCGGGGGAACUGAAACAUCUAAGUACCCCGAGGAAAAGAAAUCAACCGAGAUUCCCCCAGUAGCGGCGAGCGAACGGGGAGCAGCCCAGAGCCUGAAUCAGUGUGUGUGUUAGUGGAAGCGUCUGGAAAGGCGCGCGAUACAGGGUGACAGCCCCGUACACAAAAAUGCACAUGCUGUGAGCUCGAUGAGUAGGGCGGGACACGUGGUAUCCUGUCUGAAUAUGGGGGGACCAUCCUCCAAGGCUAAAUACUCCUGACUGACCGAUAGUGAACCAGUACCGUGAGGGAAAGGCGAAAAGAACCCCGGCGAGGGGAGUGAAAAAGAACCUGAAACCGUGUACGUACAAGCAGUGGGAGCACGCUUAGGCGUGUGACUGCGUACCUUUUGUAUAAUGGGUCAGCGACUUAUAUUCUGUAGCAAGGUUAACCGAAUAGGGGAGCCGAAGGGAAACCGAGUCUUAACUGGGCGUUAAGUUGCAGGGUAUAGACCCGAAACCCGGUGAUCUAGCCAUGGGCAGGUUGAAGGUUGGGUAACACUAACUGGAGGACCGAACCGACUAAUGUUGAAAAAUUAGCGGAUGACUUGUGGCUGGGGGUGAAAGGCCAAUCAAACCGGGAGAUAGCUGGUUCUCCCCGAAAGCUAUUUAGGUAGCGCCUCGUGAAUUCAUCUCCGGGGGUAGAGCACUGUUUCGGCAAGGGGGUCAUCCCGACUUACCAACCCGAUGCAAACUGCGAAUACCGGAGAAUGUUAUCACGGGAGACACACGGCGGGUGCUAACGUCCGUCGUGAAGAGGGAAACAACCCAGACCGCCAGCUAAGGUCCCAAAGUCAUGGUUAAGUGGGAAACGAUGUGGGAAGGCCCAGACAGCCAGGAUGUUGGCUUAGAAGCAGCCAUCAUUUAAAGAAAGCGUAAUAGCUCACUGGUCGAGUCGGCCUGCGCGGAAGAUGUAACGGGGCUAAACCAUG